AGCUGGGCCUGUUCUGACGCUGAGGUACGAAAGCGUGGGGAGCGAACGGGAUUAGAUACCCCGGUAGUCCACGCUGUAAACGAUGUGCACUAGAUCGAGGGGGUUCGGACACUGCUCUCGGUCGAAGCGAAAGUGUGAAGUGCACCGCCUGGGGAGUACGGUCGCAAGGCUAAAACUCAAAGGAAUUGACGGGGGCUCACACAAGCGGUGGAGCAUGUGGCUUAAUUCGAAGCAACGCGAAGAACCUUAUCCUGGGUUUGACAUGUACAGAUUAACUCCUGGAAACAGGAGCCACGCCCUUCGGGUGGAACGUACACAGGUGCUGCAUGGCUGUCGUCAGCUCGUGCUGUGAAGUGUCGGGUUAAGUCCCUUAACGAGCGCAACCCCUAUCGCUAGUUGCCAGCGCGUCAUGGCGGGGACUCUAGCGAGACUGCCGGUGUCAAACCGGAGGAAGGUGGGGACGACGUCAAGUCCGCAUGGCCUUUAUGCCCAGGGCUGCACACGUGCUACAAUGGCCGGUACAGAACGAUGCAAGACCGCGAGGUGGAGCAAAUCGCUAAAACCGGCCCCAGUUCAGAUUGGAGGCUGCAACUCGCCUCCAUGAAGUCGGAAUCGCUAGUAAUCGGGGAUCAGUACGCCCCGGUGAAUACGUUCCUGAGCCUUGUACACACCGCCCGUCAAGUCAUGGAAGCUGGCAGCACCCGAAGUCGCCGCGAUUCAGCGGUGCCCACGGUGAGGCUGGUGACUGGGACUAAGUCG
RNAcentral lists this ribosomal RNA (759 nucleotides) under uncultured organism. RNAcentral's name for it is "bacterial SSU rRNA". It matches the Rfam family "Bacterial small subunit ribosomal RNA", at positions 727 to 1488 of the family's 1533-position model. The record is from RNAcentral.